UAAUACGUAGGGCGCAAGCGUUAUCCGGAAUUAUUGGGCGUAAAGAGCUCGUAGGCGGUUUGUCGCGUCUGCUGUGAAAUCUGGGGGCUCAACCCCCAGCCUGCAGUGGGUACGGGCAGACUAGAGUGCGGUAGGGGAGAUUGGAAUUCCUGGUGUAGCGGUGGAAUGCGCAGAUAUCAGGAGGAACACCGAUGGCGAAGGCAGAUCUCUGGGCCGUAACUGACGCUGAGGAGCGAAAGGGUGGGGAGCAAACAGGCUUAGAUACCCUGGUAGUCCACCCCGUAAACGUUGGGAACUAGUUGUGGGGUCCAUUCCACGGAUUCCGUGACGCAGCUAACGCAUUAAGUUCCCCGCCUGGGGAGUACGGCCGCAAGGCUAAAACUUAAAGGAAUUGACGG
RNAcentral lists this ribosomal RNA (398 nucleotides) under uncultured bacterium. RNAcentral's name for it is "bacterial SSU rRNA". It matches the Rfam family "Bacterial small subunit ribosomal RNA", at positions 521 to 916 of the family's 1533-position model. The record is from RNAcentral.